GCACGACGGCUGCCGGUGCGCAGGCGAAGCGUGCUGCAGCGCGGUCUCCUCGGUCCUGCGCCUGUCCUCCGCGCCAUGCGGUGCCCCCAGCUACUGGUAAUCGCCAGUGCUCUCCAGUCUCCACUGUUGCUAAUUCAUGCCUCUGCCGUUGUGGCCUUGUGGCUGACCGCUGAUUUGGCUUUGGUCGCUUCUGUAGCAAAUCAACCAAACUCUUUUUUUAAAAGUAAC
Molecule: long non-coding RNA, 228 nt
Filed under: Panicum hallii
Lineage: Eukaryota; Viridiplantae; Streptophyta; Magnoliopsida; Poales; Poaceae
Description: long non-coding RNA (PHAL_LNC000938)
Source: RNAcentral